AGUGAACGCUGGCGGUAGGCCUAACACAUGCAAGUCGAACGGCAGCACAGUAAGAGCUUGCUCUUACGGGUGGCGAGUGGCGGACGGGUGAGGAAUACAUCGGAAUCUACUUUUUCGUGGGGGAUAACGUAGGGAAACUUACGCUAAUACCGCAUACGACCUACGGGUGAAAGCAGGGGAUCUUCGGACCUUGCGCGAUUCAAUGAGCCGAUGUCGGAUUAGCUAGUUGGCGGGGUAAAGGCCCACCAAGGCGACGAUCCGUAGCUGGUCUGAGCGGAUGAUCGGCCACACUGGAACUGAGACACGGUCCAGACUCCUACGGGAGGCAGCAGUGGGGAAUAUUGGACAAUGGGCGCAAGCCUGAUCCAGCCAUACCGCGGGGGUGAAGAAGGCCUUCGGGUUGUAAAGCCCUUUUGUUGGGAAAGAAAAGCAGCAGGUUAAUACCCCGCUGUUCUGACGGUACCCAAAGAAUAAGCACCGGCUAACUUCGU
This 491-nucleotide ribosomal RNA is filed under the name uncultured bacterium. Its description in RNAcentral is "partial 16S ribosomal RNA". It matches the Rfam family "Bacterial small subunit ribosomal RNA", at positions 29 to 506 of the family's 1533-position model. The record is from RNAcentral.